UCGAGCGAGAAGGCCUUCGGGCUGAGUACAGCGGCGGACGGGUGAGUAACGCGUAGGAAUCUACCUGGUAGUGGGGGACAACAUGGGGAAACUCAUGCUAAUACCGCAUACGCCCUAUGGGGGAAAGCGGGGGACCUUCGGGCCUCGCGCUAUCAGAUGAGCCUGCGUAGGAUUAGCUUGUUGGUGAGGUAAAGGCUCACCAAGGCGACGAUCCUUAGCUGGUCUGAGAGGAUGAUCAGCCACACUGGAACUGAGACACGGUCCAGACUCCUACGGGAGGCAGCAGUGGGGAAUAUUGCGCAAUGGGCGAAAGCCUGACGCAGCCAUGCCGCGUGUGUGAAGAAGGCCUUCGGGUUGUAAAGCACUUUCAAUUGGGAAGAAAGGUUGCGUGUUAAUAGCACGUAGCUGUGACGUUACCUUUAGAAGAAGCACCGGCUAACUCCGUGCCAGCAGCCGCGGUAAUACGGAGGGUGCGAGCGUUAAUCGGAAUUACUGGGCGUAAAGCGCGCGUAGGCGGUUUGUUAAGUCGGAUGUGAAAGCCCCGGGCUCAACCUGGGAAUUGCAUUCGAUACUGGCCGACUAGAGUACGAGAGAGGGAGGUAGAAUUCCACGUGUAGCGGUGAAAUGCGUAGAUAUGUGGAGGAAUACCGGUGGCGAAGGCGGCCUCCUGGCUCGAUACUGACGCUGAGGUGCGAAAGCGUGGGUAGCAAACAGGAUUAGAUACCCUGGUAGUCCACGCCGUAAACGAUGUCUACUAGCCGUUGGGAGACUUGAUUUCUUAGUGGCGCAGCUAACGCACUAAGUAG
This 806-nucleotide ribosomal RNA is filed under the name Parahaliea mediterranea. Its description in RNAcentral is "bacterial SSU rRNA". It matches the Rfam family "Bacterial small subunit ribosomal RNA", at positions 62 to 867 of the family's 1533-position model. The record is from RNAcentral. Lineage: Bacteria; Pseudomonadati; Pseudomonadota; Gammaproteobacteria; Cellvibrionales; Halieaceae.